GUGGCGCACGGGUGAGUAACGCGUGGGAAUAUACCAAGUAGUGGGGAAUAACUCCGGGAAACUGGAGCUAAUACCGCAUACGCCCUUCGGGGGAAAGAUUUAUCGCUAUUUGAUUAGCCCGCGUGAGAUUAGGUAGUUGGUGGGGUAAUGGCCUACCAAGCCGACGAUCUCUAGCUGGUCUGAGAGGAUGAUCAGCCACACUGGAACUGAGACACGGUCCAGACUCCUACGGGAGGCAGCAGUGGGGAAUAUUGGACAAUGGGCGAAAGCCUGAUCCAGCCAUGCCGCGUGAGUGAUGAAGGCUCUAGGGUUGUAAAGCUCUUUCGCCGAUGAAGAUAAUGACGGUAGUCGGAGAAGAAGCCCCGGCUAACUUCGUGCCAGCAGCCGCGGUAAUACGAAGGGGGCUAGCGUUGUUCGGAAUUACUGGGCGUAAAGCGCACGUAGGCUGUGCGGCAAGUCAGUGGUGAAAUCCCGGAGCUCAACUUCGGAACUGCCAUUGAAACUGCUGUGCUAGAAUCUCGGAGGGGGUAGCGGAAUUCCAAAUGUAGGGGUGAAAUCCGUAGAUAUUUGGAGGAACACCGGUGGCGAAGGCGGCUACCUGGACGAGUAUUGACGCUGAGGUGCGAAAGCGUGGGGAUCAAACAGGAUUAGAUACCCUGGUAGUCCAC
RNAcentral lists this ribosomal RNA (668 nucleotides) under uncultured Phyllobacteriaceae bacterium. RNAcentral's name for it is "bacterial SSU rRNA". It matches the Rfam family "Bacterial small subunit ribosomal RNA", at positions 95 to 798 of the family's 1533-position model. Lineage: Bacteria; Pseudomonadati; Pseudomonadota; Alphaproteobacteria; Hyphomicrobiales; Phyllobacteriaceae. The record is from RNAcentral.